UGUUGUAAGCUUUUCGUGGCGCUAGAUGUCAGACAGAUGCAAAUGGCAAAUACAUACGAAAGUGUAAAACGUGUAUGGCGAACAUUUGUUUUUUUCUGUCAUUAUAGAUGCUAGUUUGGUGAAAGUUCACACUGAGUGCUUCAAAUCAUUCAGAAGAGAUGCUGUUUUUAGGGCAGUUUAUUAAAGAAGACCUGACAUGGAUGACUUCCAAUGAGAAACGACUGCUAAUACUUAUAUGAAUUCAUUACAGAAGGACCCUACCAGACUAUAUUUGAAUACGGCAUACCCAUGAAUUCUGGAACUGUUAUUCCUUAACCCAGUUUGGAGGAUAAGAGCUUACCAACUAGUUAUAAAUAUGCUGAGGUGAUGUAUUGCAAAAUAGCCAACAUACAACAAUAUGGAUGACCCUCUGUCUUGUCAACAGGAGUUUAAAUAUGGACGGGACAGUUAUGUGGCAGCUCUUCCCUGGCUCAUUCACCUCUUGCCUUUCAUUUGUGAAAGGAAGAAAGAAGAAAGAGGGUCAAUGUGCAACUGAAGCUACUGAUUGUGCUGUGUGAUGAGCAUCAAUCCAUGCUUUGAGGGGGAUGAAUCAGCACAGCCCUGCCUGCUCUGCGUUGGGAACAGAAGUUGCAUCCAGAAUUUUUGCAUCAUUCUGGACCAAAAAGCCAUUCCCUCCAUGAUGAAGACCACUGAUGCAGCCUUCCACUACAUCAUGAGUAAAACAACUACAGAACUAAAUACCAGGUUGGAACGUAUUUAAGAAAAAUGAAACGUCUUUUGAAUUGAAAUGUCUGUUUUGUUAUGGAAAAAUCUUUAGUAUUGUGAAGGAUAAGCAUUUCUGCCUGCCAGUAAGGUAAUUGCAGUGUAUUUUAAUCUUCAAGUUUUGAGUAGGGUGGCUAAUUUUUUUUUAACUCUCAUUUGAUUUAUUAAAGACCUUAUAAUAAGUGGUUUUCAUGUCACUGCGCUGUGGUAUAAGAUAACUUUCAUUAUUCCAUACUGUAUUCUGUUUCUAAUUGUAGCUGAGGUAUUUAAAUAAGCAGUGUUAAAUGCAAAGUGUUGUGUGUAUCAAUGUAAAUAUUAAAUGUGAGGUACUUUAAUAA
Paramisgurnus dabryanus is the source of this 1100-nucleotide long non-coding RNA. RefSeq lists it as uncharacterized. NCBI's taxonomy places the organism in Eukaryota, Metazoa, Chordata, Actinopteri, Cypriniformes, Cobitidae. The record is from RefSeq and is a predicted model, not a curated record.